Long non-coding RNA from Tarenaya hassleriana, 366 nucleotides. RefSeq lists it as uncharacterized. The transcript has 4 exons. NCBI's taxonomy places the organism in Eukaryota, Viridiplantae, Streptophyta, Magnoliopsida, Brassicales, Cleomaceae. The record is from RefSeq and is a predicted model, not a curated record.
GUAAUGACAGGUGAGGCUGAAGAAAGAACAACAAGAAAAGGAAGACAAGAGAAGAUACAAGGCACAGGCACACCUUUUCACAAUAAUUAAGGUUGCAAGAGUUGAAGACCUUGCUGAACAAAUUGGGAAGGAUAUUUAUUUUGAUCUUGUUGAUCAUGACAAAGUUCGUAGUUUCCGAAUUCAGAAACAGACACCCUUUCAACAAUUUAAGGAAGAAGUUGCCAAAGAAUUCGGUAUUCCGGUUCAAUUUCAGCGCUUCUGGAUCUGGGCAAAACGACAAAACCAUACCUAUCGUCCCAAUCGACCCCUAACGCCUCAGGAGGAGUUACAGCCGGUUGGACAAAUAAGAGAGGCAUCAAACAAGGC